Vicia faba (fava bean) is the source of this 204-nucleotide non-coding RNA. The record is from the annotation of a GenBank genome assembly. Lineage: Eukaryota; Viridiplantae; Streptophyta; Magnoliopsida; Fabales; Fabaceae.
AUGCAUAACCCUCUAUCUUUACAUCUGCUCCAUACACAUAACCCUCCAUCACGACCAGUCCCUCCGUCAACCAUUCCGGCCACACAACCACCGAUUCCGCGACGUACUCCAUGCAUAUCAGUAACUCCCUCCAUAGCAGUAAAUUUCUUCUUCGGCUCCAACGACAAUCAACGUGAACGCGCUGAUGAAGAAAGCCAAAUUUAA